GACGAACGCUGGCGGCGUGCUUAACACAUGCAAGUCGAACGAAGUGGCGAACGGGUGAGUAACGCGUAAUCAACCUGCCCUUCAGAGGGGGACAACAGUGGGAAACGACUGCUAAUACCGCAUACUGAAGGAGGGGAUUGCGGCGGAUUCGCUAGUUGGAGGGGUAACGUCCCACCAAGGCGAUGAUCAGUAGCCGGGCUGAGAGGGUGAACGGCCACAUUGGGACUGGGGCACGGCCCAGACUCCUACGGGAGGCAGCAGGGGGGAAGCUUCCGCAAUGGACGAAAGUCUGACGAAGCCACGCCGCGGGGGUGAUGACGGCCUUCGGGGUGUAAAGCUCUGUUAAUCGGGACGCGGUACCGGAAUAGAAAGCCACGGCUAACUACGUGCCAGCAGCCGCGGUAAUUC
RNAcentral lists this ribosomal RNA (408 nucleotides) under uncultured bacterium. Its description in RNAcentral is "partial 16S ribosomal RNA". It matches the Rfam family "Bacterial small subunit ribosomal RNA", at positions 28 to 526 of the family's 1533-position model. The record is from RNAcentral.